This 244-nucleotide RNase P RNA is filed under the name Archaeoglobales archaeon. Its description in RNAcentral is "RNase P RNA component". It matches the Rfam family "Archaeal RNase P". Rfam says of the family: Ribonuclease P (RNase P) is a ubiquitous endoribonuclease, found in archaea, bacteria and eukarya as well as chloroplasts and mitochondria. Its best characterised activity is the generation of mature 5'-ends of tRNAs by cleaving the 5'-leader elements of precursor-tRNAs. Cellular RNase Ps are ribonucleoproteins. Lineage: Archaea; Methanobacteriati; Methanobacteriota; Archaeoglobi; Archaeoglobales. The record is from RNAcentral.
GAGUGGCGGUGGGCGGCUUUCCGAGAGGAGGAAAGUCCCCCCACCGUAAAGGGCGGAUCCCCGUAAGGGGAUGUGCCGAGAGGCACGGCAACGGCACAGAAACGGCACCCGCUUGGGGUAAUGCGAGGAUACCGAAAGGUUGAGGUCACCCAAGCGGGAUGAAACGGCCGUCCCCGCUGGUGCAAGGUUUAAACCGCUUAGACCAAUGCCGCCUAAAACAGAAGGGGGCUUAUCGCCGCCACUC